This 495-nucleotide ribosomal RNA is filed under the name Triticum aestivum (bread wheat). RNAcentral's name for it is "partial small subunit ribosomal RNA". Lineage: Eukaryota; Viridiplantae; Streptophyta; Magnoliopsida; Poales; Poaceae. The record is from RNAcentral.
AUGAUGAGCUCGUUCUUCGGGCCGGUGGAUGGGGUACUAGGCCUCGUAAUGGCGUGGCUUCUGAUCUUGUUCCCUAUUGUGGGGUUCUUAGCGGUAAUUGCAGUAUGCCUCUGGAGCCUCUGCGGCGGCGAGCGGGCGGCAGAAGCGAACGCACCCGGACGACGAUUGGGCCGAUUGGCCGAGGUGAUGGCGGCCAUUGAACGGGCGGAGCAGAUGAGGCCGGCGACGGUGGCGCCAGCGCCGGAGCUGAUGGUGGAGCUGGGGUACUUCCCGUACUCGGCGGAGGGCAGGCGGGCGUCGGAGAGGCUGGUGUGCGCGAUCUGCCUGGAGGAGCUCCAGCAGGGACAGGCUUGCAGCGAGGUGCCGGUGUGCCGGCACGUGUUCCACCGGGACUGCAUCGACGCGUGGAUGAAGAGCCAGACCACCUGCCCGUUGUGCAGGCGGAAUAUCGCGGCCGGGUCAGAACGAGUAUCGGCUGCCAUUGACAUGGUUUAG